This 76-nucleotide transfer RNA is filed under the name Spiroplasma sp. BIUS-1. RNAcentral describes it as "tRNA-Trp". It matches the Rfam family "tRNA". Rfam says of the family: Transfer RNA (tRNA) molecules are approximately 80 nucleotides in length. Their secondary structure includes four short double-helical elements and three loops (D, anti-codon, and T loops). Further hydrogen bonds mediate the characteristic L-shaped molecular structure. tRNAs have two regions of fundamental functional importance: the anti-codon, which is responsible for specific mRNA codon recognition, and the 3' end, to which the tRNAs corresponding amino acid is attached (by aminoacyl-tRNA synthetases). tRNAs cope with the degeneracy of the genetic code in two manners: having more than one tRNA (with a specific anti-codon) for a particular amino acid; and 'wobble' base-pairing, i.e. permitting non-standard base-pairing at the 3rd anti-codon position. Lineage: Bacteria; Bacillati; Mycoplasmatota; Mollicutes; Entomoplasmatales; Spiroplasmataceae. The record is from RNAcentral.
AGGGGUAUAGUUCAGUUGGUAGAACAUCGGACUCCAAAUCCGAGUGUCGCGGGUUCGAGUCCUGUUACCCUUGCCA